UCCCUUUUGGUCUCUAACUGAAGCACAGGUGCUGUUCCUGCUCCAAGGGCUGCUUCCUUGUCUCCUCACACCUGUGUGACCACCCCACUGCGAGGCAGGAUCUGGCAAUGCCCGAGCGUCUGCCUGGCCCUGCUGGUGCCGCUGCUGUGUCUGGAGCUGCCUUUGCAGGGCACUUCUCUUUGUGCAGAAGGCAAGCACAAGAAGGACUCUGGAGGGCCCUGGCACUGCCAGCACAGAGGAUUCCUGGGCCUGGACGGUUGGGUGGCUCAAGGGGCCAAGCAGAGCUUUCCACUUGAUCCCAGCUGUGCUGAAGCUGUCGCUGCUGCAGCUGGGUAGAGCCGUGGCUCCAGGGGAGUUCUCAGCAUGGGCAGGACAGGCUGAGAAGCAGAAGGGCUGAGGAGAGGACACCUGGAGCACUGUGCAGCUGGGAAAGGCAAGGAAAGGGCAAUCCUGGAUCCUGGCUCCCACACCUUGCUCCCAGGUUUAGAACAUCAGAUGACUUAGCAGAUGUGAAAUGCUUCUAGAAGCCAAACAGUGGUUCUGUUCAUACCCUUUGGACCCCCCUGUUUUUGCCUGUUUUUUUAAUGGAAACAUUGGCUGCUGAGUUUGAUUUCUCAACCAAGUUGUACUUAACCAGGACAGACCAGAUUUCAGUUGAUUUCAUUACUUUUUUCCCCUGGAAGUAGGAAAUGGCAUGCAGAUCUUUCAUCUAUGUCCACUUUAAAUCAGCAACUCCAAAAAUAUAAAUGCAGUUCCUUUUCAGUGAGGUACAAUCAAGAACGUGCACAUCUGAUCCCUACAUGCUGACCACAAGAAAUGAUGCUGCCUGGCCAGUGGAGAAGGAUGAAAUGGUCCCCAGGACCUGUCCCAGCUCUCCCUGGGUACUUCUGCACCAGCAAAUUACAGAGGGCCCCCGAGUCCAGAGAUCUCAAGUGCAGUCAGCUCUUUGUAAGGUGACGUCUCCUUUGCUCUCCCUUCCCAGAAGUCCUUGGAAAGGAGACAGCAAAUCCAAGUCUGCUUCAAGUCUGGUGUGGGGAGAGGGUCCUGGAACAUGUGGUGGGGGCUCUGCCAGU
Long non-coding RNA from Vidua chalybeata, 1073 nucleotides. RefSeq lists it as uncharacterized. Lineage: Eukaryota; Metazoa; Chordata; Aves; Passeriformes; Viduidae. The transcript is spliced from 7 exons. The record is from RefSeq and is a predicted model, not a curated record.